Molecule: long non-coding RNA, 286 nt
Filed under: Elaeis guineensis (African oil palm)
Lineage: Eukaryota; Viridiplantae; Streptophyta; Magnoliopsida; Arecales; Arecaceae
Description: long non-coding RNA (EGUI_LNC055908)
Source: RNAcentral
AACUCUAUGGAUUAGUUGAGGAACUUACAAAUAAGGUUCAUAUCAGAGAAGAACUCCGAUGUUCUAGAUAUUUCUGACCUUGAAAUGAUCAGUAAUAAUGAGAAGACAAUGAUGUCCAUAUGGAUAUUAUUUAUGGCAAAUUUGGACAUUGGGAGUAUAAUUGCAAGAAUUAUCUUACAAGAUUGAAGCAGAGUGCAAGUGUAGCACCAAAAGGUAUGCAUAUGAUACAGACUUAUUUUUCAUUGAGUGGUUCAGACUCUGAUAUUUGGGUAUUAGAUACCGCCAG